Molecule: ribosomal RNA, 329 nt
Filed under: uncultured eukaryote
Lineage: Eukaryota
Description: partial 18S ribosomal RNA
Rfam family: Eukaryotic small subunit ribosomal RNA
Source: RNAcentral
CCCUUAGAUGUUCUGGGCCGCACGCGCGCUACACUGAUGCAUUCAACGAGUCUAAAACCUGCUCUGAUAGGGGUGGGUAAUCUUUUGAAUGUGCAUCGUGAUUGGGAUAGAUGAUUGCAAUUUUUCAUCUUCAACGAGGAAUGCCUAGUAAACGCAAGUCAUCAGCUUGCAUUGAUUACGUCCCUGCCCUUUGUACACACCGCCCGUCGCUCCUACCGAUUGAAUGAUCCGAUGAAUAUCAUGGAUUGAGGAUGCAAGCAGGUUCGCCUGUCUUCAUCUUCGCGAAGUGAAGUAAAUCUUAUCAUUUAGAGGAAGGAGAAGUCGUAACA